AACGUGUUGGCUAAAUAGGUAAAGCUCUGUGCUACGGACACAAAGAUUGUAAGUUCAAAUCUUAUACACGUUU
Molecule: transfer RNA, 73 nt
Filed under: Obscuroplaca camptidia
Lineage: Eukaryota; Fungi; Ascomycota; Lecanoromycetes; Teloschistales; Teloschistaceae
Description: Caloplaca camptidia tRNA-Arg
Rfam family: tRNA
About the family: Transfer RNA (tRNA) molecules are approximately 80 nucleotides in length.
Source: RNAcentral